RNAcentral lists this ribosomal RNA (449 nucleotides) under uncultured soil bacterium. RNAcentral's name for it is "bacterial SSU rRNA". It matches the Rfam family "Bacterial small subunit ribosomal RNA", at positions 26 to 518 of the family's 1533-position model. The record is from RNAcentral.
AGAACGAACGCUGGCGGCAUGCCUAACACAUGCAAGUCGAACGAGACCUUCGGGUCUAGUGGCGCACGGGUGCGUAACGCGUGGGAACCUGCCUUUAGGUUCGGAAUAACUCAGAGAAAUUUGAGCUAAUACCGGAUAAUGUCUUCGGACCAAAGAUUUAUCGCCUUUAGAUGGGCCCGCGUAGGAUUAGCUUGUUGGUGGGGUAAUGGCCUACCAAGGCGACGAUCCUUAGCUGGUCUGAGAGGAUGAUCAGCCACACUGGGACUGAGACACGGCCCAGACUCCUACGGGAGGCAGCAGUGGGGAAUAUUGGACAAUGGGCGAAAAGCCUGAUCCAGCAAUGCCGCGUGAGUGAUGAAGGCCUUAGGGUUGUAAAGCUCUUUUACCCGGGAUGAUAAUGACAGUACCGGAGAAUAAAGCUCCGGCUAAACUCCGUGCCCAGCAGCCGC